RNAcentral lists this ribosomal RNA (253 nucleotides) under uncultured bacterium. RNAcentral describes it as "partial 16S ribosomal RNA". It matches the Rfam family "Bacterial small subunit ribosomal RNA", at positions 524 to 776 of the family's 1533-position model. The record is from RNAcentral.
UACGAAGGGGGCUAGCGUUGUUCGGAAUCACUGGGCGUAAAGGGCGCGUAGGCGGCCAUAUAAGUCGGGGGUGAAAGCCUGUGGCUCAACCACAGAAUUGCCUUCGAUACUGUAUGGCUCGAGACCGGAAGAGGUAAGUGGAACUGCGAGUGUAGAGGUGAAAUUCGUAGAGAUCAAGAGGAACACUCGUGGCGAAAGCGAGCUACUGGACAAUUCCUGACGCUGAGGCUCGAAGGCUAGGGUAGCGAAAGGG